Long non-coding RNA from Dioscorea cayenensis subsp. rotundata (Guinea yam), 620 nucleotides. RefSeq lists it as uncharacterized. Lineage: Eukaryota; Viridiplantae; Streptophyta; Magnoliopsida; Dioscoreales; Dioscoreaceae. The record is from RefSeq and is a predicted model, not a curated record. The transcript has 4 exons.
UCUAAAAAAAUCUCUCCCUCUUUGUGUCUGCGAACCCAAGUCUCUAUAAACGCAAACGCCGCUCGAGGUUUCCCAAAUUCAAAGAUAAACAAAAGAGCAAAAAAAAAAAAUUUCGGAUUAGGGCUUCGAUUCUCCCGAUUCGAAUCGGGAGUUCAUCUGCGCGCUCACUCCGCUUGAGGAUUCGUGGAGAUCAGAGACAAUGUUUGGUCAUUCAUCAAGGAGGAGUAAUAAUACCAAGUAUUAUGAGAUUCUUGGCGUCUCGCAGAAUGCGAGCCAAGAUGAGUUGAAAAAAGCUUAUAAGAAGGCCGCCAUCAAGAAUCAUCUGGACAAGGGUAAUGACCCAGAGAAGGUUGUUUCUCGAUGCUCCCUGCCACAGUUAGUUCCUAGUGAUGUUGUUGAAGUUGAGGUAUGAUGAUAUGGCUUUUGGCGUGUAAGUGUUCUAUUAUAUCAAGUUCGGAUUUGACCUUUUAUAAAAUGGUUGGUUGCAAAGUUCCUGCUGAUAUGAGAAUGAUUGAAAUUCUGAGUAACCAGUUGCGUGUUGAUCAGAAACCAUAUGCAAUCAAGUCAAGCACUUCCAUUAGAAUACAUUGGCAAGCACUGGGAAAGACAAAAAAAAAAAA